AUUAUUUUGGCAGAUUAGUGCGUUAGAUUUAGAAUCUUUAAAUGUAAAUUAUAUUACAAAUAAUACUUGUUAUU
Molecule: transfer RNA, 74 nt
Filed under: Ophraella sp. BMNH 704472
Lineage: Eukaryota; Metazoa; Arthropoda; Insecta; Coleoptera; Chrysomelidae
Description: tRNA-Leu
Source: RNAcentral